UGCCAGCCGCCGCGGUAAUACGGAGGGUGCAAGCGUUACUCGGAGUCACUGGGCGUAAAGAGCGUGUAGGCGGGUUAAUAAGUCAGAUGUGAAAGCCAAUAGCUCAACCAUUGAACUGCUUUGAAAACUGCUUACCUAGAAUAUGGGAGAGGUAGAUGGAAUUUCUGGUGUAGGGGUAAAAUCCGUAGAGAUCAGAAGGAAUACCGAUUGCGAAGGCGAUCUACUGGAACAUUAUUGACGCUGAGACGCGAAAGCGUGGGGAGCAAACAGGAUUAGAUA
RNAcentral lists this ribosomal RNA (279 nucleotides) under uncultured bacterium. Its description in RNAcentral is "partial 16S ribosomal RNA". It matches the Rfam family "Bacterial small subunit ribosomal RNA", at positions 506 to 784 of the family's 1533-position model. The record is from RNAcentral.